AGAGUUUGAUCCUGGCUCAGGACGAACGCUGGCGGCGUGCCUAACACAUGCAAGUCGAGCGGAGACAGUGAGUAGCUUGCUAUGAGCUGUUUUAGCGGCGGACGGGUGAGUAACGCGUGAGCAACCUUUCCCAGACAGGGGAAUAACACACCGAAAGGUGUACUAUUACCGCAUAAGACCACGGGAUCACAUGGUUCUGGGGUAAAAGAUUUAUCGGUUUGGGGUGGGCUCGCGUCCGAUUAGGUAGUUGGUGAGGUAACGGCCCACCAAGCCGACGAUCGGUAGCCGACCUGAGAGGGUGAUCGGCCACAUUGGGACUGAGACACGGCCCAAACUCCUACGGGAGGCAGCAGUGGGAAUAUUGGGCAAUGGAGGAAACUCUGACCCAGCAACGCCGCGUGGAGGAAGAAGGUUUUCGGAUCGUAAACUCCUGUCCUUGGAGACGAGUAGAAGACGGUAUCCAAGGAGGAAGCCCCGGCUAACUACGUGCCAGCAGCCGCGGUAAUACGUAGGGGGCAAGCGUUGUCCGGAAUAAUUGGGCGUAAAGGGCGCGUAGGCGGCUCGGUAAGUCUGGAGUGAAAGUCCUGCUUUUAAGGUGGGAAUUGCUUUGGAUACUGUCGGGCUUGAGUGCAGGAGAGGUUAGUGGAAUUCCCAGUGUAGCGGUGAAAUGCGUAGAGAUUGGGAGGAACACCAGUGGCGAAGGCGACUAACUGGACUGUAACUGAUGCUGAGGCGCGAAAGUGUGGGGAGCAAACAGGAUUAGAUACCCUGGUAGUCCACACUGUAAACGAUGAAUGCUAGGUGUAGGGGGUAUCGACCCCUUCUGUGCCGCAGUCAACACAAUAAGCAUUCCGCCUGGGGAGUACGGCCGCAAGGUUGAAACUCAAAGGAAUUGACGGGGGCCCGCACAAGCAGCGGAGCAUGUGGUUUAAUUCGACGCAACGCGAAGAACCUUACCAGGUCUUGACAUCCACUUAAACUUACAGAGAUGUAAGGUGUGCUUGCACAAAGUGAGACAGGUGGUGCAUGGUUGUCGUCAGCUCGUGUCGUGAGAUGUGGGGUUAAGUCCCGCAACGAGCGCAACCCUUAUCUUCAGUUACUAACGCGUGAGGGUGAGGACUCUGAAGAGACUGCCGGGGACAACUCGGAGGAAGGUGGGGGCGACGUCAAAUCAUCAUGCCCCUUAUGACCUGGGCUACACACGUGCUACAAUGGCCACGACAGAGAGAAGCGAAAUCGCAAGGUAGAGCGGAACUCAAAAAAGUGGUCCCAGUUCGGAUUGUGGGCUGCAACCCGCCCACAUGAAGUCGGAGUUGCUAGUAAUCGCGGAUCAGCAUGCCGCGGUGAAUACGUUCCCGGGCCUUGUACACACCGCCCGUCACACCAUGGGAGUUGGGAGUGCCCAAAGCCGGUGAGGCAACCGCAAGGAGCCAGCCGUCUAAGGCAAGACCAAUAACUGGGGUGAAGUCGGAACAAGGUA
This 1480-nucleotide ribosomal RNA is filed under the name metagenome. RNAcentral describes it as "bacterial SSU rRNA". It matches the Rfam family "Bacterial small subunit ribosomal RNA". The record is from RNAcentral.